CCUACGGGUGGCUGCAGUCGAGAAUCAUUCACAAUGGGGGAAACCCUGAUGGUGCGACGCCGCGUGGGGGAAUGAAGGUCUUCGGAUUGUAAACCCCUGUCAUGUGGGAGCAAAUUAAAAAGAUAGUACCACAAGAGGAAGAGACGGCUAACUCUGUGCCAGCAGCCGCGGUAAUACAGAGGUCUCAAGCGUUGUUCGGAAUCACUGGGCGUAAGGCGUGCGUAGGCUGUUUCGUAAGUCGUGUGUGAAAGGCGCGGGCUCACCCCGCGGACGGCACAUGAUACUGCGAGACUAGAGUAAUGGAGGGGGAACCGGAAUUCUCGGUGUAGCAGUGAAAUGCGUAGAUAUCGAGAGGAACACUCGUGGCGAAGGCGGGUUCCUGGACAUUAACUGACGCUGAGGCACGAAGGCCAGGGGAGCGAAAGGGAUUAGAUACCCCAGUAGUC
This 446-nucleotide ribosomal RNA is filed under the name uncultured bacterium. RNAcentral describes it as "partial 16S ribosomal RNA". It matches the Rfam family "Bacterial small subunit ribosomal RNA", at positions 338 to 795 of the family's 1533-position model. The record is from RNAcentral.